CAAGGAAUUUUCCCCAAUGGGCUCACGCCUGAGGGAGCAACGUCGCGUGCAGGACGACGGCCUUCGGGUUGUAAACUGCUUUUGGGGGGGAAGAUAGUGACGGUACCCCCUGAAUAAGCCCCGGCUAACUCCGUGCCAGCAGCCGCGGUAAGACGGAGGGGGCAAGCGUUGUCCGGAAUUACUGGGCGUAAAGCGCGCGUAGGUGGUCGUGUGCGUCGGUGCUGAAAGCGCCGGGCUUAACCCGGCGAGGUGUGCCGAUACGACACGACUUGAGGCAGGGAGAGGGUAGCGGAAUUCCGGGUGUAGUGGUGAAAUGCGUAGAGAUCCGGAGGAACGCCAGUGACGAAGGUGGCUACCUGGCCCUGGCCUGACACUGAGGCGCGAUAGCGUGGGGAGCGAACCGG
Molecule: ribosomal RNA, 404 nt
Filed under: uncultured bacterium
Lineage: Bacteria
Description: bacterial SSU rRNA
Rfam family: Bacterial small subunit ribosomal RNA
Source: RNAcentral